AACGUACGCUGGCGGCACGCCUAACACAUGCAAGUCGAACGCAGUAGCAAUACUUAGUGGCAGACGGGUGAGUAACAUGUAGGUAUCUGCCCUUUGGCCUGGAAUAACACGAGGAAACUUGUGCUAAUACCGGAUAAGUCUUUACGGAGAAAGCUUUAUGCACCAUUGGAUGAGCCUGCACUUGAUUAGUUUGUUGGUGGGGUAAUGGCCUACCAAGACUGUGAUCAAUAGCUGAUUUGAGAGGAUGAUCAGCCACAUUGGGACUGAGACACGGCCCAAACUCCUACGGGAGGCAGCAGUGGGGAAUCUUGCACAAUGGAGGAAACUCUGAUGCAGCGAUGCCGCGUGAGUGAAGAAGGCCCUUGGGUUGUAAAGCUCUUUCGUCGGGGAAGAAAAUGACUGUACCCGAAUAAGAAGGUCCGGCUAACUUCGUGCCAGCAGCCGCGGUAAUACGAAGGGACCUAGCGUAGUUCGGAAUUACUGGGCUUAAAGAGUUCGUAGGUGGUUGAAAAAGUUAGUGGUGAAAUCCCAGAGCUUAACUCUGGAACUGCCAUUAAAACUUUUCAGCUAGAGUAUGAUAGAGGAAAGCAGAAUUUCUAGUGUAGAGGUGAAAUUCGUAGAUAUUAGAAAGAAUACCAAUUGCGAAGGCAGCUUUCUGGAUCAUUACUGACACUGAGGAACGAAAGCAUGGGUAGCGAAGAGGAUUAGAUACCCUCGUAGUCCAUGCCGUAAACGAUGUGUGUUAGACGUUGGAAAUUUAUUUUCAGUGUCGCAGGGAAACCGAUAAACACACCGCCUGGGGAGUACGACCGCAAGGUUAAAACUCAAAUGAAUUGACGGGGACCCGCACAAGUAGUGGAGCAUGUGGUUUAAUUCGAAGAUACGCGCAGAACCUUACCAACACUUGACAUGUUCGUCGCGACUCUAAGAGAUUAGAGUUUUCGGUUCGGCCGGACGAAACACAGGUGCUGCAUGGCUGUCGUCAGCUCGUGUCGUGAGAUGUUGGGUUAAGUCCCGCAACGAGCGCAACCCUCACUUUUAGUUGCCAUCAUUAAGUUGGGCACUCUGAAAGAACUGCCAGUGAUAAGCUGGAGGAAGGUGGGGAUGACGUCAAGUCCUCAUGGCCCUUACGUGUUGGGCUACACACGUGCUACAAUGGUAUCUACAACAGGAAGCAAGACUGCGAAGUUAAGCAAAUCCCUAAAAGAUACCUCAGUUCGGAUUGCACUCUGCAACUCGAGUGCAUGAAGCUGGAAUUACUAGUAAUCGUGGAUCAGCGUGCCACGGUGAAUGCGUUCCCGGGUCU
This 1306-nucleotide ribosomal RNA is filed under the name uncultured bacterium. RNAcentral's name for it is "bacterial SSU rRNA". It matches the Rfam family "Bacterial small subunit ribosomal RNA", at positions 28 to 1381 of the family's 1533-position model. The record is from RNAcentral.